UGACUACUCCCUCCGUUCCGAAUUACUUGUCUUGGAUUUGUAUAGAUACGGAGGUAUCUAGCACUAAAAUACAAAUCCAAGACAAGUAAUUCGGAACGGAGGGAGUAGUUG
Triticum urartu is the source of this 111-nucleotide non-coding RNA. The record is from Rfam. NCBI's taxonomy places the organism in Eukaryota, Viridiplantae, Streptophyta, Magnoliopsida, Poales, Poaceae.